RNAcentral lists this ribosomal RNA (752 nucleotides) under uncultured Pseudomonas sp. RNAcentral's name for it is "bacterial SSU rRNA". It matches the Rfam family "Bacterial small subunit ribosomal RNA", at positions 28 to 775 of the family's 1533-position model. The record is from RNAcentral. Lineage: Bacteria; Pseudomonadati; Pseudomonadota; Gammaproteobacteria; Pseudomonadales; Pseudomonadaceae.
AUUGAACGCUGGCGGCAGGCCUAACACAUGCAAGUCGAGCGGAUGACGGGAGCUUGCUCCUUGAUUCAGCGGCGGACGGGUGAGUAAUGCCUAGGAAUCUGCCUGGUAGUGGGGGACAACGUUUCGAAAGGAACGCUAAUACCGCAUACGUCCUACGGGAGAAAGCAGGGGACCUUCGGGCCUUGCGCUAUCAGAUGAGCCUAGGUCGGAUUAGCUAGUUGGUGGGGUAAUGGCUCACCAAGGCGACGAUCCGUAACUGGUCUGAGAGGAUGAUCAGUCACACUGGAACUGAGACACGGUCCAGACUCCUACGGGAGGCAGCAGUGGGGAAUAUUGGACAAUGGGCGAAAGCCUGAUCCAGCCAUGCCGCGUGUGUGAAGAAGGUCUUCGGAUUGUAAAGCACUUUAAGUUGGGAGGAAGGGCAGUAAGUUAAUACCUUGCUGUUUUGACGUUACCGACAGAAUAAGCACCGGCUAACUCUGUGCCAGCAGCCGCGGUAAUACAGAGGGUGCAAGCGUUAAUCGGAAUUACUGGGCGUAAAGCGCGCGUAGGUGGUUUGUUAAGUUGGAUGUGAAAGCCCCGGGCUCAACCUGGGAACUGCAUCCAAAACUGGCAAGCUAGAGUACGGUAGAGGGUGGUGGAAUUUCCUGUGUAGCGGUGAAAUGCGUAGAUAUAGGAAGGAACACCAGUGGCGAAGGCGACCACCUGGACUGAUACUGACACUGAGGUGCGAAAGCGUGGGGAGCAACAGG